This 459-nucleotide ribosomal RNA is filed under the name uncultured bacterium. RNAcentral's name for it is "partial 16S ribosomal RNA". It matches the Rfam family "Bacterial small subunit ribosomal RNA", at positions 338 to 795 of the family's 1533-position model. The record is from RNAcentral.
CCUACGGGUGGCAGCAGUGAGGAAUAUUGGUCAAUGGGCGAGAGCUUGAACCAGCCAAGUCGCGUGAGGGAGUACUGCCCUAUGGGUUGUAAACCUCUUUUGUCGGGGAGCAAAAGCCGGACGUGUCCGGCUGUGAGAGUACCCGAAGAAAAAGCAUCGGCUAACUCCGUGCCAGCAGCCGCGGUAAUACGGAGGAUCCGAGCGUUAUCCGGAUUUAUUGGGUUUAAAGGGAGCGUAGGUGGAUUGUUAAGUCAGUUGUGAAAGUUUGCGGCUCAACCGUAAAAUUGCAGUUGAAACUGGCAGUCUUGAGUACAGUAGAGGUGGGCGGAAUUCGUGGUGUAGCGGUGAAAUGCUUAGAUAUCACGAAGAACUCCGAUUGCGAAGGCAGCUCACUGGACUGCAACUGACACUGAGGCUCGAAAGUGUGGGUAUCAAACAGGAUUAGAUACCCCUGUAGUC